Molecule: ribosomal RNA, 465 nt
Filed under: uncultured bacterium
Lineage: Bacteria
Description: partial 16S ribosomal RNA
Rfam family: Bacterial small subunit ribosomal RNA
Source: RNAcentral
CUACGGGCGGCAGCAGUGGGGAAUAUUGGACAAUGGGGGAAACCCUGAUCCAGCAAUGCCGCGUGUGUGAAGAAGGCCUGCGGGUUGUAAAGCACUUUCGGUUGGGAGGACUGCUUCUAGCACUAAUAUUGUUGGAAGUUGACGUUACCUUCAGAAGAAGCACCGGCUAACUCCGUGCCAGCAGCCGCGGUAAUACGGAGGGUACAAGCGUUAAUCGGAAUUACUGGGCGUAAAGCGCGCGUAGGCGGCUAGAUCAGUCGGGUGUGAAAGCCCCGGGCUUAACCUGGGAACUGCAUCCGAUACUGUCUAGCUUGAGCGCAGGAGAGGAGAGUGGAAUUCCACAUGUAGCGGUGAAAUGCGUAGAUAUGUGGAGGAACACCAAUGGCGAAGGCAGCUCUCUGGCCUGAUACUGACGCUGAGGUGCGAAAGCGUGGGGAGCAAACAGGAUUAGAUACCCCUGUAGUC